GUCUUAUGCUCACGUUAUUGGCAGGCUGCAGCUCACCUCAGGGCACUGCGGGUGCCUCACAGGGACACUGUGCCCAAACGUGAUGUAAAAAGCCAACAGAAACAGCCCCACAGGUGCCAAGCUCAGAGGAGAGGGAGUGCUGUGGGUGCUGCAGCUGGUAUUGAUUGCCCUGCGGGCACCGUGCCAGAGUGUGUGGGCAUGAGAGGAGGUCCUGCCCUCCUGUGCCCCUUGGGUGGUGGUUGGAGGUCGAGUUGUUGAGGGUGAAGCAGCGGAGUCCAGCCUGGCAAGCAGGUAGGAGUGAGAUGAGCGUUGGUUUGGUGUUUUUUGCCUUGCUUUUUCACCAUCUGAAUCUGUUUUAAUUGAUUUAGGGAAAAGUAAUACCUUGCCGAGUCCAUUUGGCCUGUGGUGGUAACUGAUGGGGAAUCUCCCUGUCCUUAUCCUGACCCCUGAGCUGUUCGGGACUGUAGAAGGGAGGUCUGAGCGUGGCUGUGGGGCUGCAGCCUGCGUCAGCCUGCGCACCUCUCCUGGUGCUGCUCUCACCCAUCCCUCACACCAUGUCCCUGGUUCUUUUCAUCACAAUCUGUUGUUCCGUCACAAACGUGGUCUGCUCAGACCUCAGGUUCAGCAGGACCUCACCAGUUCCAUUCCUGUCAGUCAGCUAUGAGUGGCAGCUCUUACUGCCUGGGAACAAACUCAUGUGGUCCAGUCAGGAGGAUGACAGCUCUGCACCACCGCAGGGAGUUCCUCUGGGGCCCAGUCCGAAGCACCGGUCUGGCAGCUACGACGUACCAAUGCUUCCUGCUCCCUGCUGUAUUUCUUGGCUGAGAGGAGUACUGCUGUGUGCCU
RNAcentral lists this long non-coding RNA (846 nucleotides) under Gallus gallus (chicken). RNAcentral's name for it is "long non-coding RNA NONGGAT004797". Lineage: Eukaryota; Metazoa; Chordata; Aves; Galliformes; Phasianidae. The record is from RNAcentral.